CAAGACUUGACAUCCCGCUGACCGCUCUAGAGAUAGAGUUUCCCUUCGGGGCAGUGGUGACAGGUGGUGCAUGGUUGUCGUCAGCUCGUGUCGUGAGAUGUUGGGUUAAGUCCCGCAACGAGCGCAACCCUUACGUUGUGUUGCCAUCAUUUAGUUGGGCACUCACAAUGGACUGCCGGUGACAAACCGGAGGAAGGCGGGGAUGACGUCAAAUCAUCAUGCCCCUUAUGUCUUGGGCUACACACGUGCUACAAUGGGCGGUACAAAGGGAUGCGAAACCGCGAGGUGGAGCCAAUCUCAUAAAGCCGUUCGUAGUUCGGAUUGCAGGCUGCAACUCGCCUGCAUGAAGCCGGAAUUGCUAGUAAUCGCGGAUCAGCAUGCCGCGGUGAAUUCGUUCCCGGGCCUUGUACACACCGCCCGUCACACCACGGGAGUUGGCAACACCCAAAGUCGGUGAGGUAACCUUUCGAGGAGCCAGCCGCCUAAGGUGGGGUCGAUGACUGGGGUG
This 508-nucleotide ribosomal RNA is filed under the name uncultured bacterium. Its description in RNAcentral is "bacterial SSU rRNA". It matches the Rfam family "Bacterial small subunit ribosomal RNA", at positions 975 to 1482 of the family's 1533-position model. The record is from RNAcentral.